Equus caballus (horse) is the source of this 6835-nucleotide long non-coding RNA. NCBI's taxonomy places the organism in Eukaryota, Metazoa, Chordata, Mammalia, Perissodactyla, Equidae. The record is from Ensembl.
UGAACUGGGCAGCACUGGCUCCAUCCAGGGGGGCCACCUUCAACGGUGGUGACCACGGAGGAACAGAGCCCUGGGUGGCUGACCGUCCCAAUUUUAAAUCUUAUUACAGACAGACAAGACACUUCUGGGAGCCAGACAGGAUUCCUGGGCAACUUCUGAAGUCCAACCCCCUCACUUGGUAAGAUGAGGAAACUGAGGCCCAAGGAGAUACAGUGAAUUGUCCAAGGUCACCCAAAGACAAUAUGAGAACUCCAACUCUAUUUCUCUCAACGUCCUUUCAUUGAGAUGCUGUUCUGGGGCCAAAGGGCAACACUAAAGUCUCAGAUGGCUUCUCUUAGGGUCACAGAGGCCUGCCUCAGACUGUUAAUGUCCAGAGGGAAUUGGAGGGGGCCCCAGGACUGCUGGGGGUCCUUCCUGUCAUUAAAUGAGACCUCCUUUCUGGGCCCCAGAGAAGAGGCGGGGGCAUCUUUUCCUUUUUUUGUUUUCAAUUUUUAAUCGUGGCAAAAUACACCUAAUAUCUUAACCAUUGUUAAGUGCACAGUUCGGUGCUAUUAAAUACAUUCAUUUUGCUGUGCAACCAUCCCCACCAUCCGUCUCCAGAACUCUUUUCAGCUGGCAAAACUGGAACUCCGUGCCCAUGAAAUAAUAACUCCCACUCCCCUCUCUCCCCAGCCGCUGGCAGCCACCCUUCAACUUUCUGUCUCUGUGCAUUUGGCUGCUCGAGGGGCCUCACAUAAGUGGAAUCAUACAGUAUUGAUCCUUUUGAGACUGGCUUGUUUCACUCAGCAUAAUGUCCUCAAGGUUCAUUCACAUUGUAGCUUGUGUCAGAAUUUCCUUCCUUUUUAAGGCUGAAUGAUAUUCUGUCGUAUGCUUAUACCACGUUGUAUUUAUCCACUCAUCAGUCGAUGGGCACCUGGGUUGCUUCUACCUUUUGGCCGUUGUGAACAGCGCUGCUGUGAACAAAGGUGUAUAAAUAACUGGCUGAGCCCCUGCUUUCACUUCUUUGGGGUGUAUACCCACAGCGGAAUUGCUGGAUUAUACGGUAAUUCCAUUUUUAAUUUUUAGGGGAAAUGUCAUACUGUUUUCCAGUGGCUGCACCAUUACAUUCCCAGCAACAGAGCACAGAGGUCCCAGUUUCUCCACAUCCUCCCCAAUACUUGUUAUUUUCUGGUUUUCUGACAGCAGCCGUCCUAACGGGGGUGAAGCGGGCAUCUUGGUUUCUGUCUGGAAGGUCCUCCUGAAGGGUGGCUCCGGAACAGGCCCGCGGGAGGGCCUUCCAGGGGGUGUCUCCUGGGGAGGGGGGAGGGGUGUUAGGUGACCAGCUUUGUAGUUGUUUUGAUCCAGCUGGCCCCCUGAAAUCCGUGAUAAUCACCAAGUUUUCCGAGAAUCUCUUUCUUCCUGUCUGACAUAGGUGCUUUUGUGAGUGAGACUGUAAAGUACUCAGUACCAUACACAGCAUACAGUGUGCGCUCAAUAAAUCUGAACUAUUGUUAUUAAUAUUAAGAAGACUUGAGGUUGCCAGAGUCGGGGGUGGGAAAUGGGUGAAGGAGGUCAAAAGGUACAAACUUCCAGAUAUAAAAUAAUUAAGUCCUGGGGGUGUAAUAGAUGGCGUGGUGACUGUAGUUAAUAAUGCUAUAUCGUGUAUUGGAAAGAUGCUAAGAGAGGAGAUGCUAAAAGUUCUGAUCACAAGAAAAAAAAUUUGUAACUAUGCAUGGUGACGGAAGCUAACUAGACUUACCGUGGCGAUCGUUUCUCAAGAUUUACAAAUAUCGAAUCGUUGUGUUGUACCUGAAACUAAUGAAAUAUGUCAAUUACAUCUCAAUUAAAAAGAACGACUACAGCUGCGUACGUCAACGAACGAUGACACCAAGGAAGGGUUCUGGAGGUCUGAUGGCCCCUUCCCGUCCAGGGUCUCCUAGAGGCUGUCCCUGCUACUUGGCUAUUUUUGGCCUGCCUCAUUCUGGGAUCCUGUCUGCCACCUCCUAACACCAGGAGUGAGGCCAGAGGAGACAGCUCUGGUCCCUGGGAGCCUGUCCCCCUCACCAGGUCCGGCCUGUGUUCCCUCUGCCUUUCCACCUAGCUUGCAGGCAGUUCACUCCUGAAGCUCUUCUCUGCUCUCUCUCUUCUUCCCUACCCCCAUUCCAACUCCUGCUGCUCCAGGGGAGGAGGGAGACGCAAAUUCCUCCACUGGUGUGAGGCUCCCAGAGUGUGAACUUGAGAAACCAGAGGUGAACGUCUGCCUGUGUGUGAGAGAAAGGCGGCUGAUGCUGCGUGAGCUCGUGGGAAUCAGGGCCGAGCGGGCAAGAUGGUACCAGAGGUCCAUGCAGAGAGGACACCAGGAACUUCCUGGGUCGGCUGAGGAAGCCCAGGGUGUGCAGAGGGCCAGAGGGACUCGUGAAAGAGCGAGCCUCGGUUCCGAAGAAGGAGAUCUGGGUUUUAAGGCCCCGCUCCAGCAAGGCCCUGCCCCACCUCUCUGGUCUUAUCUCCCCUUCUCUCCCUGUGGCCUUUCCUUCCUGUUCCUGCAACACCACGCUUGUCCCCUGGCCUGGAGCCCUCUUCUGCCUAGCUCUGGACGUGGCUGGUUACUUCUCAAGCUAUGGGCUCCACGCACAUGUCACCUCCCCUGGGCCCUUCUCUGACCACAGUGAAUUGGUCCUACCAGUCCCUCUGUGGAUUCCACCCGGAGCUCUUGGAAUUCUCUGAAAUGACCUUGUUCAUUACGUUAUUUUCUGGGUGGCCUGCUCCCUGCCAUUUUCCCAGUCCAUUGUCAUGGCUAUCUGUUGACCGAAAAAAUAACUCUGCUGUACGGCCUCACGUGAGCUAUUUCCCUACUCUGGGCCUCAGUUUCCUCAUCUGUGGAAAGGGGACAAAGAGCCCAGAAUCUUCUCUGACUCUCGCUCAGCACGGACUACAAGGAUCUAAGAAAAUUAGGGGGAUGUUUUGAAAAGCACAAAUGAGAAGUCACUUGCUGAGAGCAAAGAGACCAGCCUGUGGGAGAAACUGCUCAUUUAACACAUCUUGUUUGCUUUGCAAAGUGUGACUUCCCCCAGCCAACUCCUCAGCAAAUAGUCUCACCUCCUUCUCUGAGGAAGCAACGACUUCUUAAGGCGAUAAGAAUAUUGAUUUUGUUUACUCUCAUCUUUGCCUGAGAGGGAGAUGGUUCAAUAUUAGUUACUCUUGAGCCGAAUCCUGCAAUUUGGGGCUCUGGCAGGAACUUGCUAUGUGACCUUGGGCAGGUCUCCUUCCCUCUCUGGGCCCUACUUUUUCCAUCCCUCAAAUGAGAGAGUGGAAAUAUUUGAACUUGGACUCUCCUGGUGCUGGUAUUUAGGAUAACACAGCCUUGCCAGGAGGGAGGAGAAACCACGUUGUCCCAAAGUGCCCCUGGCAUGGGCCUUGUCCAGCGUGUCCAUUAAUAACACUUAAUCGGUCCCUGCUCUCCCUCUCAAAGCACUUUCCCCUCCAUUAUCUCCUAGCAGGCUCCGGGAUGGAGGUGGGGCAGCAAGCUGCUGUCUUCAUCCCAGUUUGGCAGAGAAGAACGGAGGAGAGAAGCAAGACUUACCUGCCUGCCUGAACAAUUUCCUACCAUUCUCUCCCUCAUUCUGCCUCAGGGCCUUUGUACAUGCCACUCACUCCCUCACCCUGAAAUAUUCUUUCCCCCGGCUACCCUCACUUCAUUAGCUCUCCACUCAAAUGUUUCCAAGAAGCUUUCUCUGAUCACCUUGUUCAAAAUAACAGCCCCCUACUCCCAUCUCUCUCCAUGCCCUUACUCUGUUUUAUUUUUCUUCAUGGCGUUUCUUGACAUUUGGCAUGAGAUGAUCUCUUCACUUGUUCAUUGUCUGUUUCCUCCUCUAGAAUGUCAGCUCCAUGAGAUGGGGAUUUUUGUCUGUCUUGUUCAGUGCCAUCUUCCCAGUCCCCAGCAGGGGCCUCGAAUAGCGUAAAUGCUUACUAAAUAACUGUUGAAUUGAAUUAACCUUCCAGGGACGCAGAAAUGGAAGUGACCUGGAAAGACAAAUUUCAUCUGUGCCUCUGCCACCAGGCUGGAGGUAGGGCCCCGUGUGGGUUUCUCUUUUGUGAGACUCUCUCAGCAGAAAUCAAGAUUCUUGGUGUCUUUAAAAGAAAGAGUGGUUUUAAUCGUGAGCAAGAUCUGCACGUUUUCUAUACCAGCCCUGUCUGACUUCUAACAGGGGUUGACGGAAACAGGAAAAGGGCAAGAUAUUUAGGUUACAUGUUGCAGAUGAGCGAUAUGCGCAAACUGCUAAAAAGAGAGAUUUGACUCCUUCUUGCUCAGGACUGGGGUUUUCUGAACCUUGUUCAAUAGUCCUGGGUGAUGACGGGCGUGAUAAUCAGAUUAACAGUGAUGGUCUUCACGGGAGUCAACAGGGCUUUCAACGCCUCAUUAGUGAGCCUCAAAACAGCCCUGAAAGGAGGGUACUGCUAGGAUGAUCCUCGCUUUACAGGUGGGGAAACUGAGGCUCUGUAACUCGAAGCAUGGGGUCAAUAUGCCCACGGUCAGACCGCCAGAUGCCAACGUAAGUGACCUCCGGAAAACUCCUUCACGGAAGGAAAGGUUCAGGGUUGGGGCGCUGGGUCAGACUGCCUGUCUCUGAAUCCAGGCUCUGUGACCUUGGGUAAAUUAAUUACCUGCGCUGUGCCUCAGUCUUCUCAUCUGGAAGAUGGGGAUGAGGAUGAUGAUGCUCGUGUCAAUGAAGAUUCACUGAGUUUCAUCUGCGAGAUGCUUAGGACAGAGAGUGGCACAUGAUAGAUGGGAAUCCAGCCUUGAUUAAGGGUGGGGCUAUGCUCUUGAUUUCUUGGUAUCUCACGAUGAAAUGAGAGAGUGUGGGCCACCAAGGACGCUUUUCCCUCGCCCGGUUAACUGUUCAGCAGAAAUCUGUGGAGCAUCUAAUCGCGGCACGAACUUCCAGAGAGAGCCAGGCCCUGAACGUCGCCACCCUGGCUCCGUCCCUCUCAGACCCUGCAGUCACGCCUCUAGAAGUAAUUUUCCCCCAAACCUGCUCAGAGCUGCUCUCCUGAAAAAGGAAACAUUUUUCUCCCCUUCCAGGGACAGCCCCAUCCCGCCAGAUUUCUCAGAAGAGUAUUGGGCUCCUGACCCACUCCUCGCCCGCCUGGGUGCAGGCCUGUCCGGCCCCUCUGAGGCCGGCUUCCGCCCAGCAUCCCUCCCCAAGGUCACCAGUGACCCCGCUGCCGAGCCCCAGCAGUCUCUUCUGGUCUUCACCGCAUCAGCUCUGGGGCUUUUGUGGAGGCUCUUGCAGCCCUUGCUUCUGGAAUUUCUUGGUUCCUGUAAAGCUGCUCCUCCGUGGGUCCCCUCCCUCCCGGACCUCGGCUUCUCCUGGUCUCUCCUCCCUCCUCCGCAAGAAACACUGUGUCCAAGGGGACAAGCAGGAUGUUCGUGACAGCAGUGCUCCUAAUAAUGGAAAAUCGGAAGCAACCUGAGGGUCCACCCACAGAGGAAUGAAAAAGAAAUCUUGCCUAUUUCUAUCACAGAUUACGUGCAGCAGGGUCAAGAAGGAAAUAGAUCUGUUAGUGGCGACUAGUGGCGACAUGGAAAGACCUGUGACUUACGUUACAGAGGGGAAGAAAGCAAGUUGCAGAGUGAUACCCACGCUAUUCCUGCAUUCCACAGAUAUUUUUGGGGCUUCUGCUCCACAACUGACACUGUUCUAGACACUGGGAAUACAGCAGUGAACAAAACGCGCUCCCUACCCUGGCUGAGCUGACGUCCCACCAGGGGGAGGGCAGAGGCAGGAAUAAAUGGUGGUAAGUACAAUGAAGAGAGACAGAAAGGGGGAUGGUUUCCCAUUUCUGUAAAAAGAAUCACCACAAAAUAAUACUAUGUGUUUUCUAUGGGUAUUUAUUUAUGUAUAUAAAUGCACUAAAAAAGGUCUGCAAGGAAGCACCCCAAACUGCUGACAGUCUGUUCUGCGGGAGCAGUGGGUGCUGGGUGGCUGUCCAAAGGCACUUCAGCUUUACGGGAGGAUAUACCCAUGUAUUUCUUGUGUAAUGAAAAAUUAAUGAUAGUAAGCAACUGGAAGCCUCCGACAGUGCUGCUGGAAAUAUAAAAUGGUACAACCACUUCGGAAAACUGUUGGUAAUUUCUUAUGAAAGCUGAACACGUGACUCGGCAAUCCUACUCCUAAGUAUUUGCUUAAGAAAAAUGAAAACCUGUGUCCACACGCAGACUGGCCCACCAAUGUUUACAGUGGCGUCAUUCAUACGGGUCCCAAAGUGGAGCCAACCUGAAAGACCAUCACGGGGUGCUGGGUGAACACGGAGUACAUCCUUGCCCUAGAGCGCUACUCAGCAAUGAAAAGGAGCAGGCCACUGAGACGUGGAUGAACCUGAAAGCAUCACACUGAGUGAAGGAAGCCAGGCGGCAAAGUGCACACACCAUAUGACUCCAAUUACAUGACAGACAAAACGAAUCUGCGCUGAUGGAAAUCAGAAGGACGGCUGCCUGUGGGGGUCAUGGGCGGACUGGAAGCGGACCUGAGGGAACCUUCCGGGAUGAUGGGAACGAUCUCGAUUUUCGUUGGAGGGGUGUACACAGAGUGCAGGCAUUUGUCAAGAUUCAUUGAAUCAUACGCCUCAGAUCUGUGCCUUUCAGUGUAAGUAAUUUUACCUUGAUAAUAAUAAUAAAAUAACCACCAAAGACGGGGAGGAAUGCUCUGACCUGCUAGGAGUGUUCAUUUCUAAAUCGUGGAAAGGUAGGUGAUUUUCAUUUUCUUCUAUAUGCUCACCUGGGUUGUUUGAAGGCUUCAGCAAUGCACAUGUAUUCCUUUUGUGAUCAGAAGAAAAAAAUGUAAAAGAUCUUAUGGCC